This 253-nucleotide ribosomal RNA is filed under the name uncultured bacterium. Its description in RNAcentral is "partial 16S ribosomal RNA". It matches the Rfam family "Bacterial small subunit ribosomal RNA", at positions 524 to 776 of the family's 1533-position model. The record is from RNAcentral.
UACGGGGGGGGCAAGCGUUGUUCGGAAUUACUGGGCGUAAAGGGCUCGUAGGCGGCCAACUAAGUCAGACGUGAAAUCCCUCGGCUUAACCGGGGAACUGCGUCUGACACUGGAUGGCUUGAGUUUGGGAGAGGGAUGCGGAAUUCCAGGUGUAGCGGUGAAAUGCGUAGAUAUCUGGAGGAACACCGGUGGCGAAGGCGGCAUCCUGGACCAACACUGACACUGAGGAGCGAAAGCCAGGGGAGCAAACGGG